GUGCUUGCUUUGGCUGCACAUAUACUAAAAUUAGAACAAUACAGAGAACAUUAGCAUGGCCCUUGCCCAAGGAUGACACGCAAAUUCAUGUAGUAAAUGUCUUU
Molecule: small nuclear RNA, 104 nt
Organism: Dromiciops gliroides (monito del monte)
Lineage: Eukaryota; Metazoa; Chordata; Mammalia; Microbiotheria; Microbiotheriidae
Source: RefSeq, a predicted model, not a curated record